UAGAUGCGAGAGUAGAGCAUAUCAAUAAGCGGAGGAAAAGAAACUAACAAGGAUUCCCCUUAGUAACGGCGAGUGAAGCGGGAAGAGCUCAAAUUUGAAAUCUUCAAGGGUUCUACCUUUACGAAUUGUAGUUUAAAGAAGUGUUUUCUGUUGGAGUUUUGGUAAAAGUUCUUUGGAAUAGGACAUCAUAGAGGGUGAGAAUCCCGUAUUUGACCAUUAUUUCCAGCUGUGUGAUACACUUUCAAAGAGUCGGAUUGUUUGGGAAUGCAGUCCAAAAUGGGUGGUAAAUUUCAUCUAAAGCUAAAUAUUGGCGAGAGACCGAUAGCGAACAAGUACCGUGAGGGAAAGAUGAGAAAGAACUUUGAAAAGAGAGUUAAACAGUACGUGAAAUUGUCAAAAGGGAAGCGUUUGACACCAGUGUUGUUUUCUCGAAAAUCAAUUAAAAAUGAUGGGAUUUUGUGUUGUAUUGACUUUAUCAGCUUUCUGCACUUUUUUCUUAUCUUUUUUAAUGCACUUUUCGUUUAACAAGUCAACAUCAAUUUCUUUUGUUGUAAAAGAGUCAUUGGAAGGUGGCUUUUUCUUCGGAAAAAGUGUUUAUAGCCUUUGGCUUCUGCAAUCGGAGAGAUUGAGGUCUGCAGCGUAGAUCCUUCGGGGUUAGAUACAUUUGUGCUAAGCUAUAGUUCUUUAUAGACAACUUGUUGACUAUAAUCAAUCCUGUAACUUACUCGCUUAUGCUAUUUUACCUACGCUUAGGAUGUUGACGCGCGUGUGUGCGUG
This 777-nucleotide ribosomal RNA is filed under the name uncultured Neocallimastigales. RNAcentral describes it as "partial large subunit ribosomal RNA". The stretch from base 3 to 696 matches the Rfam family "Eukaryotic large subunit ribosomal RNA", at positions 24 to 664 of the family's 3401-position model. Lineage: Eukaryota; Fungi; Neocallimastigomycota; Neocallimastigomycetes; Neocallimastigales. The record is from RNAcentral.